This 213-nucleotide non-coding RNA is filed under the name Gracilinema caldarium. RNAcentral also lists the same sequence under 1 other name. The record is from RNAcentral. Lineage: Bacteria; Pseudomonadati; Spirochaetota; Spirochaetia; Treponematales; Breznakiellaceae.
UAUGAUAAAAACGAUAGUGGUGCCCACAUUUCAUUUUGUGCAGGCUGUAAAAGGGAAGCCGGUAUAUGCCGGCGCGCCCCCAGGCACUGUAAAAGACAAGGACAACACGGGGUUCAUUAUUUGAACCAUCACCACGGGGAAUGAUUUCCUGGAAGGGCGUGUUGAACGCUUGCAGUCUUGAGCCAGGAUACCUGCCACUAUCCUAGGGCUGUA